RNAcentral lists this transfer RNA (72 nucleotides) under Sphaerodactylus townsendi. Its description in RNAcentral is "tRNA-Ala". It matches the Rfam family "tRNA". Rfam says of the family: Transfer RNA (tRNA) molecules are approximately 80 nucleotides in length. Their secondary structure includes four short double-helical elements and three loops (D, anti-codon, and T loops). Further hydrogen bonds mediate the characteristic L-shaped molecular structure. tRNAs have two regions of fundamental functional importance: the anti-codon, which is responsible for specific mRNA codon recognition, and the 3' end, to which the tRNAs corresponding amino acid is attached (by aminoacyl-tRNA synthetases). tRNAs cope with the degeneracy of the genetic code in two manners: having more than one tRNA (with a specific anti-codon) for a particular amino acid; and 'wobble' base-pairing, i.e. permitting non-standard base-pairing at the 3rd anti-codon position. Lineage: Eukaryota; Metazoa; Chordata; Lepidosauria; Squamata; Sphaerodactylidae. The record is from RNAcentral.
GGGGUUGUGGCUCAGUGGUAGAGCCGCCGUUUGGCAUGCAGCAAAUCCUGGAUUCAAUCCCUGGCAUCUCCA